GCAGACGUGCCGAAGUGUUAAGGCGAUGGACUAGAAAUCCAUUGGGGUCUCCCCCGCUCAGUUCGAAUCCUGUUGACUGCG
This 81-nucleotide transfer RNA is filed under the name Ixodes scapularis (black-legged tick). RNAcentral describes it as "tRNA-Ser". It matches the Rfam family "tRNA". Rfam says of the family: Transfer RNA (tRNA) molecules are approximately 80 nucleotides in length. Their secondary structure includes four short double-helical elements and three loops (D, anti-codon, and T loops). The record is from RNAcentral. Lineage: Eukaryota; Metazoa; Arthropoda; Arachnida; Ixodida; Ixodidae.